RNAcentral lists this long non-coding RNA (401 nucleotides) under Bos indicus x Bos taurus (hybrid cattle). RNAcentral's name for it is "lncRNA (ENSBIXG00000023309.1)". The record is from RNAcentral. Lineage: Eukaryota; Metazoa; Chordata; Mammalia; Artiodactyla; Bovidae.
GGUCCUGCCUCUGGCGUCGCUGAGCUUAGAGCUGUCUCCUCCUUUUCUGAUUCCCCAGCACACCCGGGCUUGGCCGCUUGGGGCCCCUGGCAGCCCAGCUCUGUCAGGGGGCAACCAGAUAGGCGUCCAGAGAGACCUCACUGCUGGCCAUGGCCCACUGGUCCGUGCCAAGAGUAAAUAACCUUCCUGAUUUAGGAGACUGGACAGCAUCUUCUAGAAAGAAGCUCACAAGACCAGGGCGGGUGUGACUCGGCCGUGGUGUUCUUGACACUCCAGUGGCUCCAUGAACCAUGGGGCACAUGGACUGAAGAGACAGAAAACCACCUCUUAUUAGGUUUAGGAUUGUGCUAAUGGAAGUGACCUCAUCCACACCCAUGGGUUUAUCCCUUCAUGAAGAAUAA